AUACGGAGGAUCCGAGCGUUAUCCGGAUUUAUUGGGUUUAAAGGGUGCGCAGGCGGUCAUUUAAGUCAGCGGUUAAAUCGUGGGGCUCAACCCCAUUCUGCCGUUGAUACUGGGUGGCUUGAUUGCGGUCGAGGUUGGCGGAAUUCGUUGUGUAGCGGUGAAAUGCAUAGAUAUGACGAAGAACACCGAUUGCGUAGGCAGCUGACCAGACCGCAAAUGACGCUCAUGCACGAAAGUGCGGGGAUCGAACAGGAUUAGAUACCCUGGUAGUCCGCACAGUAAACGAUGAAUACUUGUUUUCGGCGAUAUAAUGUCGGAGGCAAAGCGAAAGCGAUAAGUAUUCCACCUGGGGAGUACGCCGGCAACGGUGAAACUUAAAGGAAUUGACGGGG
Molecule: ribosomal RNA, 392 nt
Filed under: uncultured bacterium
Lineage: Bacteria
Description: partial 16S ribosomal RNA
Rfam family: Bacterial small subunit ribosomal RNA
Source: RNAcentral